GGAGUUUAAAAAAAUGACAGUUUAGUCCUUUAACCAGGUGAGUGAAUGAUGAACCAAACUCAGAGUGAUCGGCCAGAUGCUGCCGGGACAGGCUGUGACCUUUGCCCCUUCAGGAAGCGACCCAACACCUCUGAACAUGGAGCCGUAACCUCCUGCAGGAGAAAAGUGCUGAUGCGGUCAGAAGGAGGCAGAGGACGGCGGCUGAUGUGAUCUCAAGACACAGGAGACAGGAGACAGGAGACAGGAGACAGGUGUGUGUGUUUGUGUGUAACAGGUAAAACACUUUACAAUAACCAUGAUCUAUAAAUGGUAAAUAAACAGUUUAUUAAUGUUUAGUCAUCAUUUAAAAACAGCAUAUAGACCAAUUAUAGAUGGCAAAUGGAUAGUUUAUUAAUGUUAAUAUAAGUUAAUAAUAAGUUAAGUUAGGUUAAAUAUAAGUUAAAUAAGUUAAUAGUUACUAUUAACAAGCAAUGAAAUUAUGAUCAGACGGUCCUGAUUUAGCUCUAAAUGUAGUUUGUGAGUGUGGAGCUUCAUCACUUGUGUUAAAAACAGAAUAACAGAAACACGCUCUCAGAGGUUAAUUUUACUCUAAUUUACUCUCAAAUCUGAAAUGUGACAAAGUCCAUCUGGUUCUUCUCUGCCAUCCCAGCAUCCUCUGCAGUAGCUGGACAGAGAAACCCGAUACUGACCGCAGAGAGGGGGGAGGUCAGACCGGGGUCAAGGCCAUCGCCCAAAUAAUCAGGAGAAAGAGAUGAUCGGUGAGUCCACAGGAGAAGAGUUUCCUGAUUAAAACUCAUGAUACUUUUUAUUUUCUCGUCUUAUUUUGAUUUUAUGUCUUUUUUUAGCCUUUGUUUUACGCAUAAUCUUUUCAUAUUUAACCUUUUAGGCCUCUUAUUGAUGUUAUUGUUUUCUCAUUUCUGUUUUUCCAUUUUAUCAUGAAUAUUACCAUCAUUAUUAUUUUGUUGUCUUUCGUCUUUUAUCCUGUUGCCUGCUUUCUACCCCCUUUUUUUUCAUUACAUUUCCUAUUUUAUGUUUUUAUUUUGGUCCUCUUGGUCUCAUUUUAUGUUGUAAGGUUCUUUGUCCGGGUUCCUUAUGACAAAUGAAAUUGGUCUUCAAUAUGGAGACCCUGUUUUUAACUGAGCUUUUGUUUUCUGUUUUCUGUUUUAUUUUUUAUUUUGUUCUGUGCUUUACGACUGUUUGUUGAAGCUCUGUUUUUGAAAGUGCUAUAAAAAUAGAGUUAUUAUUAUUAUUAUUAUUAUUAUUAUUACACUGAACAUUUACAGACUCUGGAUAAUGGACCAAGAAACACUUUGUUUUCCUCUGAACUUGUGGGUGUUACUUUUUACACAACUUUGCAGUCAUGAGAAAAUUAUUCCGUCACUGAAAACAUCUGAGGAUAUCACGGUACGAAUGAGAUGGUAGAACCGUUCGUCUGAUCCAACACGAUCCAGGGGGGCUGCUGCUAUGAUGCUAAAAUACUCUGAUCAGUAAAGUUCUUCUUCUUCUACUGCCUGAAUGUAACCGAACAUCGUUGUCAUGUUUUAGAAAGUGUAGAUAGAGUUUUUUCUCGGCUGCGUCUGGUUGAACUCACCAAUCUUUGUCCUUUUUGUUUAAAACCUUUAAUUCAGAGCCGAGGACUGACUGAGCUCUGAUUCUGAUUGGUUGAUCCCUGUCAUUAUUAUCAGACUGCUGAACUUCAACUUAACAAUGAAAGUUCCCCAAAUCUUCACAGAUCGAUUACCCACAACCCCCCUCUGCCUCUGGGACUUCCUGGUCAGAAAGUCAUUUGUCAGUAUUAAGGUGGAUCAUGUCGGGAGCCACCGUCGGUACCAAGGUUAGGACGCAGCAGUUGAGUAAACAUCAGCCGGGGUAUCGCUUUCAGUACGGCUGCUGGUUUCACCUCAGAGUAAACAGAGGCGGCGUCCGCAGCGGCACUCAGGUAUCAGACUGACCCUGGUUUUAGACCAGAAGAUGUCUCCUUUCUGUCAGACUGAGGACGAGGAUGAGGAGGGGGAGAGCAGACAGAUGAUGAAGGUGUUUAUGUCUCCUCGCUGUUAAUCGUCAUAUCUGGUGUCGUGUCUGAGCAAAGGCUUUCUCUGUAGGUCACAGUCUGACCUGAAGGACCUGGACUGACCCUGACGCACCGACGCUGGCCUGAGUCUGAUCUGCUGUUCUGGUUUUAACAAAGAAAGGAUCAUGUUCACAAUAUCCACCAUAUUCAUCACAUUCAUCAUAUCCAUCAAAUUCACCAUAUUCAUCACAUUCACCAUGUUCAUCAUAUUUACCAUAAUCACCAUAAUGUCAUGUGAUUCCAAACAUAUGAAUUGAAUUUCCCUUUGAGGAUAAACAAAGUUCUUGUAUAUUAUAUUAAAUAUUCAUCCUAUUAACCAGAAUUCAUCGUACUCACCAAAUGUAUCAUAUUGAUUAUUUUUACCAUUUCCGACACAUUUACCAUUCUGACCACAUUUCAUCAUGUUCAUCAUAUUCACCAUAUUCAUCGCUUUUACAUAUUGACCAUAUUCAUUAGAUUAAUCAAAUUCACCAUAUUCUCCUUAUUCCCCAUAUUCACAAAAUUCAUCAAAUUCUCCAUAUUCAUUAUAUUCAUCAAAUCAGCUAUAUUCAUCAUAUUUAUCGUAUUCACCAUAUUCAUCAUACUCACCAUAAUAACUAUAUUGAUUAUAUUUACCAUUUUCAACACAUUUACCAAAUUCACCAUAUUCAUCAAAUUCACCGUAUUUACCAUAUUCACCAUUUUGAUCAUAUUCACCACAUUCGCAAAAUUCAUCAAAUUCACCAUAUUCAUUAUAUUUAUCAAAUUUGCUUUAUUCACCAUAUUCAUCAUAUUCACCACAUUUAUCAUAUUGAUUAUUUUUACCAUUUCCGACACAUUAACCAAAUUCAUCAUGUUCAACAUAUUCAAUUUAUUCAUCAAAUUCAUCCAAUUCACCAUAUUUAUUAUAUUCAUAAUUUUCACCGUAUCCAUUUUAUUCAUCAUAUUAACCAUUUUCACCAUCUUGAUAAUGUUCACUAUGUUCAUUGCUUUUAUAUAUUGACCAUAUUCAUCAAAUUCACCAUAUUCAUCAUUUUCAUCAUAUUGAAUUGAUCUUUAUAUUGAUCUUAUCCAUCAUGUUGAUCACAUUCCAUAUCAGUAUGUUUUGUACCAAGGCUGCAUGAUAAACCAUUUCAUCUCUUUUCAGUUGUGUCUGAUAGGGUUGGUCGUCACCCUUCUCUCUGUCAAUUGAAGUACUUAUUACUAGGAUUGGGGAUCAUUCAUUCUAACUGAUUACUGAUAUCAUUAUUGGGACUUCUUAAUGAUUCAGGUCCUUAUUAAAACCAGGAUCCGGUCUUCUCUGUUAUUGUCAUGACUUCAGUUUUCGAAGUCAGUCGUCAGGUCGGGUUUUGAGCUUGUUAUGUUUGUGUAUCUAAAUUCCCAGCUGGCCCUGAAGUAUCAACUCUGUAAAGCCAAACAGAGGAAACGGUCAAAGAGGUCGUGACCUUUCAGCCAGCGGGUACAUGUCCAAUCAGAAGGUCAGGGAUGGCGAGGAAAGACUCUACAUGUCUGAGUCCGUCAGUGAAUCGGUUUUAAGGUUUUGAGGAGUCCCUAAAAUCUGAACCUGCUGAUUGGUAGAAAGAUGCUGCGAAUGAAAAACUAAAAUUAUGACAGAAAAAGGAAAUCACUUAGUCGAUUAUGUCUGUAACUCACCUGCCAACAUUUUUAUUAAAGUUUAUGAAAAAACAUAAACUUUUAAAUUUAAUAAUCAGUUAACUUGAGGACCUGAACUCUUUAAAACCUUCAGAGCUCCUGAGAUAAAAACUCGACCUUGUGGUCAUUUUGCUGCUGCUGCUGAGCUUUGACAUUGACCUUGGCGUCCUGCUUCACAUCUUUAGUCCUCAGUUUGUCACUAAAAUAUCACGUUUCCAAACAGAGGUGGCUCUCCACACGGCUGAUGAAAUGUUCAAUGAUGCUUGGGUUUCAGCUCCUCACCAGCCUGAAUCCUGCAGCCCGUAUCCAGGCGUCCCCAGAGUGCCCCACCCUCUGGACCAGCAGCCCCCUCUGCAGGGUUUGGACCCCGUCAGAUGGGAGGGGGGCCCCUGGGAGCCAUUUAUAACCCGAGCCGGAGCUCUCACGGCAGAGUCCAUUCUCCUGCACUUCUCUGCCAAGUGUUAAAAGAGAGAUUCUUAAAAAUGGAGCAGCCAUAUGUACGGCAGCCCGGAGCUUUAGAUGAGCUUUUCAUCGAGGUGGGGGUCGACUUUUCUCCUCUUACAGCCC
Molecule: non-coding RNA, 4270 nt
Organism: Xyrichtys novacula (pearly razorfish)
Lineage: Eukaryota; Metazoa; Chordata; Actinopteri; Labriformes; Labridae
Source: the annotation of a GenBank genome assembly